This 1032-nucleotide long non-coding RNA is filed under the name Prunus persica (peach). RNAcentral describes it as "long non-coding RNA (PPER_LNC006267)". The record is from RNAcentral. Lineage: Eukaryota; Viridiplantae; Streptophyta; Magnoliopsida; Rosales; Rosaceae.
CGGUUGUAAGUGCUUCUUUUUUAUUUCUUUGCUCUUAUAAGUUGAUUAUUUUUGUUAUUUAUUUAUGUUACUAAUUUAUUUUCCAUCAUGCAGACACGAGUAAAUUCAAUUAUUAUGUGGUCAGAGAGUAAAUUGAGCCCAACAAGCCCAACUGCUUUAUAGGAACUAUAGUUAGACUCUCAGGUAAUUAAAAGCAAGCAGAUUAUCACUUGUUCUAUCCAUGUGAAAUAAUAAUAGCCGAUCAAUGGUUACAGUCAACACGUCACAAAAUGGUGAUGAUUAUUAAGUGCAUAGGUGCAUACUUUUCUUUACGGAGCCUGCACAUACGACCCUUGAAAUUUGGGCUACUCAAUUUAAAUUGUUGAAUCCAACAUACAAAAAAUUGUCCCUUAACUUACUACUAUAUUAUUUCGUUAAUAUUCUAGUUUUGUUUUCGCACGAAUGUCCUUAAAAUUAUCUUUCCUCCAUGCAGCUAUGGAUAUUUAUCUUCAAGUAACAUAUGCUAAGAUGUGUCUAAUAACAAAUGAUAUUACUGAGCUGAUAGUAUGGUCAGUUCCCUUUUCGCCCUCGAAACAUAAUUUAUGAGGAAUUCUUUUAUAUGGGAAGUGAUAUUUUCUUUUACCUGCUGAUGAUUAAUAAUCAGAGACUUCUUUUUUAUUUCUUUGCCUUUAUUAAUUGAUUUUUUUGUUAUUUAUUUAUAUUACUAAUUUAUUUUUCAUCAUGCCGACUCAGGUAAAAUCAAUUAUUAUGUGGUCGAAGAGCAAAUUGAGGUCAACUACUUUAUAGGAAGUAUAGUAGUACUCAAAGGUAAUUAAAAGCGAGCAGAUUAUCACUUGCUCUAUACAUGUGAAAUAAUAAUAGUCGAUCAAUGGUUACAGUCAACACGUCAUAAUAACAACCCAUUGCACCUGAUUGUAUAUGGUCAAGCCGACGUACAAAAUGGUGAUGAUUAUUAAGUGCAUAGGUGCAGACUUAUCUUUACAGAGCCUACACAUAUGACCCUUGAAAGUUGUGCUACUCAAUUUAAAUUGG